This is a long non-coding RNA of Oncorhynchus tshawytscha (Chinook salmon), 1153 nucleotides long. NCBI's taxonomy places the organism in Eukaryota, Metazoa, Chordata, Actinopteri, Salmoniformes, Salmonidae. The record is from Ensembl.
AGGAAGUGCAGCUCAGUUUCCACCUCAUUUUGUGGGCAGUGAGCACAUAGCCUGUCUUCUCUUGAGAGCCAUGUCUGCCUACGGCGGCCUUUCUCAAUAGCAAGGCUAUGCUCACUGAGUCUGUACAUAGUCAAGGCUUUCCUUAAUUUUGGGUCAGUCACAGUGGUCAGGUAUUCUGCCGCUGUGUACUCUCUGUGUAGGGCCAAAUAGCAUUCUAGUUUGCUCUGUUUUUUUGUUAAUUCUUUCCAAUGUGUUAAGUAGUUAUCUUUUUGUUUUCUCAUGAUUUGGUUGGGUCUAAUUGUGCUGCUGUCCUCUCUCUCUCUAUCUGACAUGUAGGACAUCUCUCUCUCUCUCUAUCUGACAUCUAGGACAUCUCUCUCUCUCUGACAUGUAGGACGUCUCUCUCUCUAUCUGACAUGUAGGACAUCUCUCUCUCUAUCUGACAUGUAGGACAUCUCUCUCUCUAUCUGACAUGUAGGACAUCUCUCUCUAUCUGACAUAACAUCUCUCUCUCUCUGACAUGUAGGACAUCUCUCUCUCUAUCUGACAUGUAGGACAUCUCUCUCUCUCUCUAUCUGACAUGUAGGACAUCUCUCUCUCUCUCUCUCUCUGACAUGUAGGACAUCUCUCUCUCUCUCUCUCUGACAUGUAGGACAUCUCUCUCUCUCUCUUUCUCUCCGACAUGUAGGACAUCUCUCUCUCUCUCUCUCUCUCUGACAUGUAGGACAUCUCUCUCUCUGACAUGUAGGACAUCUCUCUCUCUCUCUCUGACAUGUAGGACAUCUCUCUCUCUAUCUGACAUGUAGGACAUCUCUCUCUCUCUAUCUGACAUGUAGGACAUCUCUCUCUCUCUAUCUGACAUGUAGGACAUCUCUCUCUCUCUAUCUGACAUGUAGGACAUCUCUCUCUCUCUAUCUGACAUGUAGGACAUCUCUCUCUCUAUCUGACAUGUAGGACAUCUCUCUCUAUCUGACAUGUAGGACAUCUCUCUCUCUAUCUGACAUGUAGGACAUCUCUCUCUCUCUCUCUAUCUGACAUGUAGGACAUCUCUCUCUCUCUCUAUUUGACAUGUAGGACAUCUCUCUCUCUCUCUAUCUGACAUGUAGGACAUCUCUCUCUCUGACAUGUAGGACAUCUCUCUCUCUCUCUCUCU